RNAcentral lists this ribosomal RNA (508 nucleotides) under uncultured bacterium. RNAcentral's name for it is "partial 16S ribosomal RNA". It matches the Rfam family "Bacterial small subunit ribosomal RNA", at positions 28 to 507 of the family's 1533-position model. The record is from RNAcentral.
GACGAACGCUGGCGGCGUGCUUAACACAUGCAAGUCGAACGGGCCUUGUCCCCUUUUUUUUUGGGGGUGGGGUUAGUGGCGAACGGGUGAGUAACACGUGAGUAACCUGCCCCUCACUUCUGGAUAACCGCUUGAAAGGGUGGCUAAUACGGGGUGUUCUGGCCUGCUCGCAUGGGUGGGUUUGGAAAUAUUCGACCGGUUUUGGUUGUUUUGGUGGGGGAUGGGCUCGCGGCCUAUCAGCUUGUUGGUGGGGUGAUGGCCUGCCGAGGCUUUGACGGGUAGCCGGCCUGAGAGGGUGGGCGGUCACACUGGGACUGAGACACGGCCCAGACUCCUACGGGAGGCAGCAGUGGGGAAUAGUGCACUAUGGGCGCAAGCCUGAUGCAGCGACGCCGCGUGAGGGAUGGAGGCCUUCGGGUUGUGAACCUCUUUCGCCAGUGAAGAAGGUCCUGCUCUUUGUGGUGGGGUUGACGGUAGCUGGGUUAAUGAAGCGCCGGCUAACUACGUG